Long non-coding RNA from Momordica charantia (bitter melon), 1145 nucleotides. RefSeq lists it as uncharacterized. The record is from RefSeq and is a predicted model, not a curated record. Lineage: Eukaryota; Viridiplantae; Streptophyta; Magnoliopsida; Cucurbitales; Cucurbitaceae.
CUAUGGUAUCCGGGUGGAAUCUCUUUCUUUCAUCUUCAUUUAUCGUCUGAAAAUCUUCCAUCCUCCGGGUUUCGAAAAUUCGAACCCUAAUUCCGAUUCUCUCAACCUCUGUUAACUGAUCCGAUCGUCAACGGCUUAGGUUUUUCUGCUUGUUUGUCAUCGUUCCUUUUCAAUUUUUGAUCUAUUUGCGCUCGUCUUAUAAUCUGCGCGAAUUUCCUUGAAGGUUUUAGUUUCUACCGUAGAUUGAGAUCUUAACGAAUUUCUUCCUUUUUCAUGAAUGAUUUUCCGCUCAUUUGUCCAUUUUCUUGUUUCGAAUGAUUUCAAAUGCAUCUGUUUACCCUCUCCUCGGUAUCUGUAUGAAAAUCGAGGGGAUAAAACAGGUGCAGACAUCGAAAGGUUGGCUUACCAGCCCAUUUCAUAUUUGAUCUUUGUCCUGGAGUCAAAUGGACCUACCGAAAUAUCGGCCACCAUGUUCAUCGCUUAUUUGGCCUUAUUUGUUUCCUUCCAGAUUUAUUUUCUGAAUAUUUUUCUGUUGUUAUGGCAUAUGAUGAAUGACUUCUUUUCCGCUUAUUGAUAUACUGAUGUUCAGUGCUGACUCAAAACUCCGCUUAUUAUCUGAUGCCAUUACAACUGCUCAUCCUAUCUCUGUUUUCCUUUUUCUUUUUCCCGCAUAAUUUACAUUUUCAUGUGAUUUUCUUCUGUUUCUUCGAAAUCAGGUUUAUUUUAAUUUGAUUAGUGUUUUCAGUAGUUUUAUAUCAAGUAAAGGCAGGCAAAUGAUGUAGACAAAUUCUUAUCCUACACACUGAAGUAAAUGUAGAUUACUACUCCGCUUAUUAUCUGAUGCCUUGCUUAAUCGUAAAAGAAAUUUCAGUUUUCGAAAUUUUAGUUUAAUCUACUGUCUCGCAUCAAAUAUUGGAUUGUACCUUCCGAUGAGGAGAAAAAAGCAGACGGGCGGUCUGAAUCUGAUGCCGUGUUGAUUGUCUGCAACUCCCAUCUUCUUGGGUUCCUGAGGGUUCAAAUCACUUAGCUAACAGAUGGGAAUUUGAUACGAGAAUCAUGAGACGGGAUGGAAAUGAACUUCAUGGGGCAAUUACCCCGUUAUUGAUUACCCUUAAUAUAAAUAAAUCCGGUGCACGUUAAAUUAA